GCUUGUGUAGCUCAGUUGGUAGAGCACGUCAUUCGUAAUGAUGAGGCCCGGAGUUCGAGUCUCCGCACAAGCU
This 73-nucleotide transfer RNA is filed under the name Planctomycetota bacterium. RNAcentral describes it as "Planctomycetes bacterium (subsurface metagenome) tRNA-Thr". It matches the Rfam family "tRNA". Rfam says of the family: Transfer RNA (tRNA) molecules are approximately 80 nucleotides in length. Their secondary structure includes four short double-helical elements and three loops (D, anti-codon, and T loops). The record is from RNAcentral. Lineage: Bacteria; Pseudomonadati; Planctomycetota.